GAUGAAGAACGCAGUGAAAUGCGAUAAGUAAUGUGAAUUGCAGAAUUCAGUGAAUCAUCGAAUCUUUGAACGCACAUUGCGCCCAUUAGUAUUCUAGUGGGCAUGCCUGUUCGAGCGUCAUUAAGUCCACUUAAGCCCUGCUUAGUGUUGGGAGACUGCUCCAGCGGUGCUACCCUGUAGCUACCCUGCAGCUCCUCAAAGACAGCGGCGGAGUUGUGGUAUCCUCUGAGCUUAGUAACUUGUUCUAGCUUUCGAGUACACCACUUCCACUGCCGUAAAACCCUUAAUUUUUAAUGGUUGACCUCGGAUCAGGUAGGAAUACCCGCUGAACUUAAGCAUAUCAAUAAGCGGAGGA
RNAcentral lists this unclassified non-coding RNA (355 nucleotides) under soil metagenome. RNAcentral's name for it is "partial contains 5.8S ribosomal RNA, internal transcribed spacer 2, and large subunit ribosomal RNA". The stretch from base 1 to 120 matches the Rfam family "5.8S ribosomal RNA", at positions 35 to 154 of the family's 154-position model. The record is from RNAcentral.